GGCUGUGGAGGCUGAAUUAGCCUUUGCCUUGGCAGGAGCUGACUCAAAGCCUGCAGAGCUGCAGUGACACAGGGAGUGCAAAGGGGGAACUUUGCAGCCUGCCUGGUCUUGCCUGGUGAAAUGGGAGCAGCUAUGGUGAAAUUCCUUUUUAGCUUGGGAAAGACAAGGUAGCAGAUAUGACAACUGACUGUGGACAAGGAAUUCUGCUGAUGGCGUCUUCCUUUUUGCAGAGCUUUUUUCUGAUGGGCCUAGAAGAUUUCUCAUGAUUAACUUGAGACAGUGACUAACUCCCACAGGCAAUGCUUCCAAUACAUCCAUCUGUUUUUCUAGGUGUGAAGGGAAAGUGCAUGCCAGUGUUUGCACAAAUGUUCAGAGAUGGUUGAUACGAGUCUGUCAGGACACGUGGAGCAGAGAAGGAGGGCAAAGGCAGUGCCUUGUGGAAUGACUCCCAAACAAAAAAACUGGGCAUCCAGACCAGCUGGCAAAUGUGGACAAAUCCUGAAGGCAACCUAAUAAUUUUGGUUCAGAAAAAGGGCUGGUGAAUGAUGGAUUUGAAUCUGGACCUUUCCUUUGUGCUCAAUUCAUCUUCCACUGAAGCUAAAGAAUAAUGAACACCCAGGCAAAAGCUUCCUCCAGCUGCCUG
Long non-coding RNA from Passer domesticus (house sparrow), 643 nucleotides. RefSeq lists it as uncharacterized. The transcript is spliced from 3 exons. Lineage: Eukaryota; Metazoa; Chordata; Aves; Passeriformes; Passeridae. The record is from RefSeq and is a predicted model, not a curated record.